Molecule: ribosomal RNA, 497 nt
Filed under: uncultured bacterium
Lineage: Bacteria
Description: partial 16S ribosomal RNA
Rfam family: Bacterial small subunit ribosomal RNA
Source: RNAcentral
GAUGAACGCUGGCGGCGUGCCUAAUACAUGCAAGUCGAGCGAACGGACGAGAAGCUUGCUUCUCUGAUGUUAGCGGCGGACGGGUGAGUAACACGUGGAUAACCUACCUAUAAGACUGGGAUAACUUCGGGAAACCGGAGCUAAUACCGGAUGAUAUUUUGAACCGCAUGGUUCAAAAGUGAAAGACGGUCUUGCUGUCACUUAUAGAUGGAUCCGCGCUGCAUUAGCUAGUUGGUAAGGUAACGGCUUACCAAGGCAACGAUGCAUAGCCGACCUGAGAGGGUGAUCGGCCACACUGGAGCUGAGACACGGUCCAGACUCCUACGGGAGGCAGCAGUAGGGAAUCUUCCGCAAUGGGCGAAAGCCUGACGGAGCAACGCCGCGUGAGUGAUGAAGGUCUUCGGAUCGUAAAACUCUGUUAUUAGGGAAGAACAUAUGUGUAAGUAACUGUGCACAUCUUGACGGUACCUAAUCAGAAAGCCACGGCUAACUACAUG